RNAcentral lists this ribosomal RNA (72 nucleotides) under Aspergillus tamarii. RNAcentral describes it as "partial 28S ribosomal RNA". Lineage: Eukaryota; Fungi; Ascomycota; Eurotiomycetes; Eurotiales; Aspergillaceae. The record is from RNAcentral.
UGACCUCGGAUCAGGUAGGGAUACCCGCUGAACUUAAGCAUAUCAAUAAGCGGAGGAAUACCAAUGUAGGGU